UACGUAGGGGGCUAGCGUUGUCCGGAAUCAUUGGGCGUAAAGCGCGUGUAGGCGGUCCGGUAAGUCCGCUGUGAAAGUCGAGGGCUCAACCCUCGAAUGCCGGUGGAUACUGUCGGGCUAGAGUACGGAAGAGGCGAGUGGAAUUCCUGGUGUAGCGGUGAAAUGCGCAGAUAUCAGGAGGAACACCGGUGGCGAAGGCGGCAUCCUGGACCGGCAUUGACGCUGAUGAGCGAAAGCCAGGGGAGCAAACGGG
This 253-nucleotide ribosomal RNA is filed under the name uncultured bacterium. RNAcentral describes it as "partial 16S ribosomal RNA". It matches the Rfam family "Bacterial small subunit ribosomal RNA", at positions 524 to 776 of the family's 1533-position model. The record is from RNAcentral.